UAUCUCUGUAGAGUCUGCAUAUCAAUAAGCGGAGGAAAAGAAACUAACAAGGAUUCCCUUAGUGACGGCGAGUGAAGCGGGAAGAGCUCAAAUUUGAAAUCUUCAAGGUUCUACCUUGACGAAUUGUAGUUUAAAGAAGUGUUUUCUGUUAGAUGAGUAGCAAAAGUUCCUUGGAAUGGGACAUCAUAGAGGGUGAGAAUCCCGUAUUUGGUUAUUCAUUCUAGCUUUGUGAUACACUUUCAAAGAGUCGGAUUGUUUGGGAAUGCAGUCCAAAAUGGGUGGUAAAUUUCAUCUAAAGCUAAAUAUUGGCGAGAGACCGAUAGCGAACAAGUACCGUGAGGGAAAGAUGAAAAGAACUUUGAAAAGAGAGUUAAACAGUACGUGAAAUUGUCAAAAGGGAAGCGUUUGACACCAGUGUUGUUUUUCCGAAAACCAAUUACGAAUGGCUUGAUUUUGUGUUGUAUUGACCUUAUCAGCUUUCUUCACUUUUUUCGAGUCUUUCUUAAUGCACUUUUCGGUUAACAAGUCAACAUCAAUUUCUUUUGUUGUAAAAGAGUAUUCGGAAGGUGGCUUUCUUUUCGGAGAAAGUGUUUAUAGCCCUAUACUUCUACAAUCGGAGAGAUUGAGGUCUGCAGCGUAGAUCCUUCGGGGUUAGAUACACUUUGUGCUAAGUUGUAGCUUUUCAUAGACGACUUGUUGACUAUGUUUAGUCAUGCGGCUUACUCGCUUAUGCUAUUUUACCUACGCUUAGGAUGUUGACUGAUAUGUAGUCGUA
Molecule: ribosomal RNA, 775 nt
Filed under: uncultured Neocallimastigales
Lineage: Eukaryota; Fungi; Neocallimastigomycota; Neocallimastigomycetes; Neocallimastigales
Description: partial large subunit ribosomal RNA
Rfam family: Eukaryotic large subunit ribosomal RNA
Source: RNAcentral